UACAAAGGGUGCAAGCGUUACUCGGAAUUACUGGGCGUAAAGCGUGCGUAGGUGGUGAGUUAAGUCUGUCGUGAAAGCCCCGGGCUCAACCUGGGAAUGGCGAUGGAUACUGGCUCGCUAGAGUGCGGUAGAGGAGAGUGGAAUUCCCGGUGUAGCAGUGAAAUGCGUAGAGAAUCGGGAGGAACAUCAGUUGCGAAGGCGGCUCUCUGGACCAGCACUGACACUGAGGCACGAAAGCGUGGGGAGCAAACAGG
This 254-nucleotide ribosomal RNA is filed under the name uncultured bacterium. RNAcentral's name for it is "partial 16S ribosomal RNA". It matches the Rfam family "Bacterial small subunit ribosomal RNA", at positions 524 to 776 of the family's 1533-position model. The record is from RNAcentral.